Molecule: ribosomal RNA, 1746 nt
Filed under: Triticum aestivum (bread wheat)
Lineage: Eukaryota; Viridiplantae; Streptophyta; Magnoliopsida; Poales; Poaceae
Description: partial small subunit ribosomal RNA
Source: RNAcentral
AUGGCAUCCGGUACAUCAUCACCGAGAGGGCAAGAACCACAACAGUUAGACAAAGAGCUCCUGAAAGCAGCCAAAUAUGGUGAUUCCACACACAUGCAGGCCAUGGCGUCACAUGAUCGGAACAUACUCCAUGGAAAAACUCUGCAGGGGAACACAUGCCUCCACAUUUCCUGCAUUUAUGGCCACGUGGGAUUCUGCAAGGACGUGCUGGAACUGGAAGAUUCUCUCAUCAGCGCUGUAAACCUCGACGAGGAGACACCACUUAUCACCUCAGUGAGAAAUGGUCACGUCUCCUUGGCUUCUUUUUUACUCGGUCGACACUGCUCUGUGCACCAUGGAUUGAGACAGGCAAUCCUGCAGCAAGACAGGUAUGGAUUUAAUGCACUGCACCAUGCAAUUAGCAAUGGCCAAAAAGAUCUUGCCUUGGAGUUGAUAGAAGCAGAGCCUGCGCUGUCACAAGCUGUGGGCAAGCAUAAUGAGUCACCCAUGUUCUUCGCGGUGAUGAGAAAUUUUACACCUGUUUAUGAGAAACUAUUGCAAAAUCCUUUGUCUGCGUGCUCGGGAGGACAACACUGUCAAAAUUGUCUACAUGCUGCAGUUAUGAAUGGGGAUCAAGAAUUCGUGAAACUAAUCAUGAAGAAACGUCCUGAAUUGGCCAGAGAAGUUGACACAGCCCACGAAACACCAAUAGCACUUGCUGUACGAUUCAACAAGAUUGGCAUUUUACAACUAAUGCUGGAACAUGAUUCAACCCUAGGGUACUUAACAGGCCACAAUGGGUUUCCUCUCCUUCAUGUUGCGGCACAUCGAGGUCAGGUUGCUGCUGCUCGAAUGCUUCUGGAACACUGUCCCGAUGCUCCUUAUAUUGAAUCAGAUGGUUUGACAUGUCUUCACAUAGCUGUAUGGUUUGAUCAACCGGAGUUUGUUGAGUUUGUCCUGAGGACGCCAAUACUUCGCAAGCUUGUUAACGUGCAAGACAACAACGGAAAAACCGCUCUCCAUAAUGCUGUCACAAAGUGCAAUCCUAGAAUUGUUGCUGCUUUAUUGUCUCACGUGGAUAUAGAUGCAACACUACUUGACAACCACAGUAGACCAGCGUCCUGGGAACUCUCGGACGUUACGCUGAACGCCAAGACAUUAAACUGGAAUGAAGUGGCCAUGCUUAUUUCGAAAGCUAAUCCACAAAAUGCUUCCGUUCUUCAUAAUCUUCAAGUGCAAGCCAAACGACAGAUGACUGAUGAAUCAAGGAAGAAUGCAAAGUCACUAACUCAAACAUACACAAGCAACACUUCGUUAGUGGCGAUUCUUAUUGCGACAAUCACCUUUGCUGCUGCCUUCACCCUUCCAGGAGGAUACAGCAAUGAUGCAGGAAGCGAGGGACUUCCCAUCAUGUCUAGGAAUUUUGCAUUUCAGGCAUUCUUGAUCUCUGAUGUCUUAGCAAUGUGCUCCUCAUUUGCUGUGGCCUUCAUAUGCAUUAUAGCAAGGUGGGAGGACUAUGAGUUCUUGGUUUAUUACACAUCCUUCACUAAGAAGCUCAUGUGGUUUGCAUAUGUGACAACAACUACAGCCUUUUCAACUGGUUUAUACACGGUGCUCGCUCCACGUGUCCACUGGUUAGCGAUUGCAAUUUGUGUUAUGGUAGCUUUACUGCCCAUUCUCACAAAGCUGCUGGGCGAAUGGCCUAUCUUGAAGCUCAGACUUAAGCUGGGUAAAGAUUUCAACUCGGAUUUCCUUGAUAUGGUCUGA